This is a long non-coding RNA of Strigops habroptila (Kakapo), 2457 nucleotides long. RefSeq lists it as uncharacterized. The transcript has 3 exons. The record is from RefSeq and is a predicted model, not a curated record. NCBI's taxonomy places the organism in Eukaryota, Metazoa, Chordata, Aves, Psittaciformes, Psittacidae.
UUGGCGGUGGCCUCGGCUGGGAGCGGGGCCGAGGGGAGCCGGGUGCCGGGGUCCCCAUCUCGGCCCCACCACCGUGGCGUCAGGCAGAAGCGGCCGCCCCGGACACCCGAUGGCUUGAGGAAACGGGCCCGUCGCACACGGGGCCGGUCGUGAGGUGGCCGCGACUCCAGGGCCCAGCCCACCACAGGAGGUUGAACUUUUAAAGGAGAGGUUCGGGAAGGGGCAGGAAGCCGGGCUGGCACUCUGCAUGCGGAUUCCCCAGCGCUGCAACAGCCAAGGCAGCUGUCGGUGGAUUUAAGCGAGGCCAUCCGGGGACCCCCCUUCACGUUGUGCUUGCCCCGCCAGCAGCGGUAGAGCUCACCACAGGCAUGCCUGAACAUUCUGAGCAGCUCAUCAUUGAGGAGGCAGAUAACUAAACUGUAAGCUCAAAGUGAAGCCAUUUCACCGCUCAGGGAUGAACACCUCUUCUCCUUUUUCGACCUCCUGGCAUCCCUAGUUUAGGAUCAAGAAUAAACUAUGCAUUUGUGCCUUUAUCAGCAAGGCUCCCGUGGGGCAAUCCUCGUAAGCGCUGGUAGCAAGGAGGCUUAUAAAAAGCAGCUCCAGGUGGAAGCGGGUCUUUUCCUGCUCCUCCCUCCAUCCUGCUGCAAUUCCCUUUCAUCCAGGCCCAGAGAACUGCCUGCCUUUCAGACUGAGCUACACAUGUAAGAGAGUUGUGGCCACUUGAACCAGGUAUUAGACUAGCUAGCUUUAGUUAGUGUUGAUUCGCUGAUGUUCUGGGGAGUUUCCUUGCAUAUGGUGUAGCAUGCCAACUUAAUGGUGGUCAUUCAACAGCAAAUGUAAAUUAAAAAAACAAAGCCUACCUCUAAAGAAAACGAGCAGCUUUGAUGCAUCUUUAAACUUGGUUUCUAAGAAGUUGGUGUUGAUACAGCUGCCAUCGUGUUGAGGCUUUUUAGCUCCCUUGUCAGCAUUUCUUAUUUCCCUACAGAAUGCAAAGUGGAUGUGGUGUGUGGUGUAUUAUUUAUUACAUAAAAAACCUGGCAGCAUGUGCGGUGUUCUGUCUCAAAAGUCAUGUUGGAAACCUACUACACCACAGAUUAAACAGUGAAUAUUAGUGCUAACACUGCAUCUGUUGUCUUUAUCUUCUAGCAACUGUUUUACAACUUUUCUGUUAAGUUGCAGACAAACCCUGCCGCCUUAGAAGCUGUGAUACGAUCUGUGCUCUCAGUGCAAAAAAUACAGCAUGUUCUGGCUUGUGUUUUUUAAGAGAGAAAACAAUUGGUUCAUUGCACUUAAAAGUUGUGCCAUUCGGUGCAGCACUACUGAAGUGAGCAGCCUAGGAAGUGUGAUCCAUGGCGUUAGGGAUGCCGCGCACAUCCCCUCCCUCCUCUGCAACCAGGGGGUGAGGCCACCAGCUCUUCCUGCCUGAACUGAACUAAGUGAGUUCUGUUCCUCUGCCAAGAAUGUAGAAGUAAAUACAGUGAUCGUGUAAGUUACUUGUAAUACCCAAAGUAUAAACAAACUUGUGCAUAGGAAAGGUGAGUUUCUGGCAGGUAUUCCAGGGGAGUUCCCUCAGCACUGCAGAGCUGAGGCAUUCAUCUUUAAGGAUAGAACAAAUUUUAGAUACCUACACAAGACAGGAACAGAAAAGGUGCAGAGUGGAGGGAUACAAAAUGAGGGGUCAGCUGCUGCUGGUGGUGGUGGUGCUUUUAACACUGGCCGGUGGCUCUAGGUUUAUUUCUUCACGACUGGCACUCGGUGGUAUCGAACACCUCUACUUUCAAAUCAAUACAUGCUGACAACAAAUACUUGUCAGCAUGAAUGACAAGUACGCAGCGUUUCGUGGCAUCAGAUCUAACAUGUCCACUAUGAAACAUAUGCGCGAAGUGCGGUGUUCCUCAAUCCGGGAGUUGGUCCUUUCAGAGUACCUUGUGUUAAAUUCAGUUUUAAAUUUAGUAUUUGUAAGGUUCAGUCCCUAGUGCAGUGUUUUAAAUACUUGGGUGAUCAAACUCUACUUAACCAGGCACUUCUGUCUUUGCUUGCAGUGAAGUGCUGCGCAAAGGAUACACAUUUGGCUGGAUUGUGAGAAACUGUAAAGACCACACAACUAAGUUUAAGUACUUAUAUGCUUGCUGAAUGUGUCUCACACUUUCUGAAUGUCCCAGGCCCCCCAGUAACUAAUGAAGGCUGCAGUGGGAGCGCGUUCUCCUUUUCCUCCAUAUUAUGCUGUUUCCAUAACAGAGUAUUGAUUCAUAUUCAGAGUUGUGGCCCAUCUCUUAAAGUGUUCUGUGCCAGUGAAAUCAAGACCACAGUUGACAACUUUGCUGCUCUGUCGCAGCAGAACUCUUCCGUGAGCUUUAAGCCUAACUAUGUAUGAGGCUGUUUUCUCAGGGGCGGGUCUGAAAUAGUGGAAAGAGCAAUUUAUUUUACUCUCUCUAUAAGCAUACAGCAAUUUCAUGU